ACGGAGAGUUUGAUCCUGGCUCAGGACGAACGCUGGCGGCGUGCUUAACACAUGCAAGUCGAGCGGUAAGGCUCCUUCGGGGGUACACGAGCGGCGAACGGGUGAGUAACACGUGAGUAAUCUGCCCUUCACUUCGGGAUAAGCCUCGGAAACGGGGUCUAAUACCGGAUACGACACUCCUUCGCAUGAGGUGGGUGUGGAAAGUUUUUCGGUGGGGGAUGUGC
Molecule: ribosomal RNA, 224 nt
Filed under: Nocardioides deserti
Lineage: Bacteria; Bacillati; Actinomycetota; Actinomycetes; Propionibacteriales; Nocardioidaceae
Description: partial 16S ribosomal RNA
Rfam family: Bacterial small subunit ribosomal RNA
Source: RNAcentral